Molecule: ribosomal RNA, 515 nt
Filed under: uncultured bacterium
Lineage: Bacteria
Description: partial 16S ribosomal RNA
Rfam family: Bacterial small subunit ribosomal RNA
Source: RNAcentral
GAUGAACGCUGGCGGCGUGCCUAAUACAUGCAAGUCGAGCGAAUGGAUUAAGAGCUUGCUCUUAUGAAGUUAGCGGCGGACGGGUGAGUUACACGUGGGUAACCUGCCCAUAAGACUGGGAUAACUCCGGGAAACCGGGGCUAAUACCGGAUAGCAUUUUGAACCGCAUGGCUCGAAAUUGAAAGGCGGCUUCGGCUGUCACUUAUGGAUGGACCCGCGUCGCAUUAGCUAGUUGGUGAGGUAACGGCUCACCAAGGCAACGAUGCGUAGCCGACCUGAGAGGGUGAUCCGCCACACUGGUACUGAGACACGGCCCAGACUCCUACGGGAGGCAGCAGUAGGGAAUCUUCCGCAAUGGACGAAAGUCUGACGGAGCAACGCCGCGUGAGUGAUGAAGGCUUUCGGGUCGUAAAACUCUGUUGUUAGGGAAGAACAAGUGCUAGUUAAAUAAGCUGGCACCUUGACGGUACCUAACCAGAAAGCCACGGCUAACUACGUGCCAGCCGCCGCGGUAA